RNAcentral lists this ribosomal RNA (481 nucleotides) under uncultured bacterium. Its description in RNAcentral is "partial 16S ribosomal RNA". It matches the Rfam family "Bacterial small subunit ribosomal RNA", at positions 28 to 523 of the family's 1533-position model. The record is from RNAcentral.
GACGAACGCUGGCGGCGUGCUUAACACAUGCAAGUCGAGCGGUAAGGCUCCUUCGGGAGUACACGAGCGGCGAACGGGUGAGUAACACGUAAGCAAUCUGCCCUUCACACGGGGAUAACCCUCGGAAACGAGCGCUAAUACCCGAUACGACCACUUCCGGCAUCUGAUGGUGGUGGAAAGUUCUGGCGGUGAAGGAGGAGCUCGCGGCCCAUCAGCUUGUUGGUGGGGUAACGGCCCACCAAGGCAACGACGGGUAGCCGGCCUGAGAGGGUGACCGGCCACACUGGGACUGAGACACGGCCCAGACUCCUACGGGAGGCAGCAGUGGGGAAUAUUGGACAAUGGGCGAGAGCCUGAUCCAGCAACGCCGCGUGAGGGAUGACGGCCUUCGGGUUGUAAACCUCUUUCAGCAGGGACGAAGCGCAAGUGACGGUACCUGCAGAAGAAGCACCGGCCAACUACGUGCCAGCCGCCGCGGUAA